This 562-nucleotide ribosomal RNA is filed under the name uncultured bacterium. Its description in RNAcentral is "bacterial SSU rRNA". It matches the Rfam family "Bacterial small subunit ribosomal RNA", at positions 338 to 916 of the family's 1533-position model. The record is from RNAcentral.
CCUACGGGAGGCAGCAGUCGGGAAUUUUGCUCAAUGGGCGAAAGCCUGAAGCAGCAACGCCGCGUGAGGGAUGACGGCCUUCGGGUUGUAAACCUCUUUUCUCAGGGACGAUGAUGACGGUACCUGAGGAAUAAGCCACGGCUAACUACGUGCCAGCAGCCGCGGUAAUACGUAGGUGGCGAGCGUUGUCCGGAUUUACUGGGCGUAAAGAGCGCGCAGGCGGUCGUGCAAGUCGGAUGUGAAAGCCCCCGGCUCAACUGGGGAGGGUCAUUCGAUACUGCUCGACUCGAAGGCGGGAGAGGGAAGCGGAAUUCCCGGUGUAGUGGUGAAAUGCGUAGAUAUCGGGAGGAACACCAGUGGCGAAGGCGGCUUCCUGGCCCGUUCUUGACGCUGAGGCGCGAAAGCUAGGGGAGCGAACGGGAUUAGAUACCCCGGUAGUCCUAGCCGUAAACGAUGGACACUAGGUGUUGGUGGUAUCAACCCCGCCAGUGCCGAAGCUAACGCAUUAAGUGUCCCGCCUGGGGAGUACGGCCGCAAGGCUAAAACUCAAAGGAAUUGACGG